GAUGAACGCUGGCGGCGUGCCUAAUACAUGCAAGUCGAGCGAACGGACGAGAAGCUUGCUUCUCUGAUGUUAGCGGCGGACGGGUGAGUAACACGUGGAUAACCUACCUAUAAGACUGGGAUAACUUCGGGAAACCGGAGCUAAUACCGGAUAAUAUUUUGAACCGCAUGGUUCAAAAGUGAAAGACGGUCUUGCUGCCACUUAUAGAUGGAUCCGCGCUGCAUUAGCUAGUUGGUAAGGUAACGGCCUACCAAGGCAACGAUGCAUAGCCGACCUGAGAGGGUGAUCGGCCACACUGGAACUGAGACACGGUCCAGACUCCUACGGGAGGCAGCAGUAGGGAAUCUUCCGCAAUGGGCGAAAGCCUGACGGAGCAACGCCGCGUGAGUGAUGAAGGUCUUCGGAUCGUAAAACUCUGUUAUUAGGGAAGAACAUAUGUGUAAGUAACUGUGCACAUCUUGACGGUACCUAAUCAGAAAGCCACGGCUAACUACGUG
This 497-nucleotide ribosomal RNA is filed under the name uncultured bacterium. RNAcentral's name for it is "partial 16S ribosomal RNA". It matches the Rfam family "Bacterial small subunit ribosomal RNA", at positions 28 to 507 of the family's 1533-position model. The record is from RNAcentral.